CAGUCGCCGCGGGAAUACGUAGGGUGCAAGCGUUAAUCGGAAUUACUGGGCGUAAAGCGUGCGCAGGCGGUCCGUUAAGACAGAUGUGAAAUCCCCGGGCUUAACCUGGGAACUGCAUUUGUGACUGGCGGGCUAGAGUAUGGCAGAGGGGGGUAGAAUUCCACGUGUAGCAGUGAAAUGCGUAGAGAUGUGGAGGAAUACCGAUGGCGAAGGCAGCCCCCUGGGCCAAUACUGACGCUCAUGUACGAAAGCGUGGGGAGCAAACAGGAUUAGAUACCCCUGUAGUCCCUGUCUCUUAUAC
RNAcentral lists this ribosomal RNA (301 nucleotides) under uncultured bacterium. RNAcentral describes it as "partial 16S ribosomal RNA". It matches the Rfam family "Bacterial small subunit ribosomal RNA", at positions 509 to 807 of the family's 1533-position model. The record is from RNAcentral.